This 465-nucleotide ribosomal RNA is filed under the name uncultured bacterium. Its description in RNAcentral is "SSU rRNA". It matches the Rfam family "Bacterial small subunit ribosomal RNA", at positions 26 to 518 of the family's 1533-position model. The record is from RNAcentral.
AGGAUUAACGCUGGCGGCGUGCCUGACACAUGCAAGUCGAACGAGGCCGCAAGGCCGAGUGGCGGACGGGUGAGUAACACGUGACCAACCAACCUCGAAGUUGGGAAUAGCUCUGCGAAAGUAGGGGUAAUACCGAAUGUGGCCCAGGGCGGGCAUCCGCCUUGGUCUAAAGAUUCAUCGCUUCGAGACGGGGUCGCGGCCUAUUAGCUUGUUGGUGAGGUAACGGCUCACCAAGGCGAUGAUGGGUAGCUGGUCUGAGAGGACGACCAGCCACACUGGGACUGAGACACGGCCCAGACUCCUACGGGAGGCAGCAGUGAGGAAUCUUCCGCAAUGGGCGAAAGCCUGACGGAGCAACGCCGCGUGUGGGAUGAAGACUCUAGGGUUGUAAACCACUGUCGGAGGGGACGAUCGUGACCGGUACCCUCCAAGAACGCCCCGGCUAACUACGUGCCAGCAGGCCGC